AUUCAUCAUGCGAUGGUGGGAUGCGAGUUACCAUUGGAAGUUUGGGCCACAUAUAGCAUUUAUUGCGAUACCUCGCAAAAACAGUGAUGAUUUCCAGGAUCAAAUUCUACAGUGUGUGCUUCAGAACUCAAUGGAAAAAAGGCAAGUUGCUAGUUACCAUUUGUUGGGCUCUUUGGCAUGCAAGGAAGAAAUGGUUACAUCAACGAAAGAAGGAAACCACACAAGCUACAUCGGGGUUCAUACGGUCUUAAAUAGCUGAAUCAGUGAGGGCUGAAGGGUCUUUACCUGAGAAUCGAAGCUGAUACCCUGUCCGGCGGGAACCAUCGGUGGAAUGGAUAGUAAAGGUUAAUUUUGAUGUGGGGUUCAGAGCCACAACCAGCACAUCCACUUCAGGAGUAACUGCGAGGGAUCGAAAUGGCCUGAUUUUAGGGGCAUGUGUUCAUACAAAUAGUGAUGUUCCCAACCCUUUUACCAUUUAAGUUAUAGCUUGUGUGUAUCCCUUGGACCAAAGUGUUUAUAUAUAUAUUAUGGAUUAUAGAUUAUACAUGUAAAAAUAUUUUUGAUCAAUGACUUUUUUGGG
This 580-nucleotide long non-coding RNA is filed under the name Gossypium barbadense (sea-island cotton). Its description in RNAcentral is "long non-coding RNA (GBAR_LNC012129)". Lineage: Eukaryota; Viridiplantae; Streptophyta; Magnoliopsida; Malvales; Malvaceae. The record is from RNAcentral.